GGAUAUGGUCCGGUUUUGUCUAUUUGGGUUCUGAAAAUGUGAGACGAACAAAUAAAAAUACAGGGUUCGUUGCCAUUUCUAAAGAACGUCGCGGAGAAAAACUGAGAGGAGUAUCACACUUUGAGAGACGAAUACUCAGCAGACAUGAAGGUCAGAUCAUCAGUAAAGAAGAUGUGUGAGUUUUGUAGAACGGUGAAGCGUAGGGGUAAAGUCUUUGUCUUAUGCACAGCCAAUCCCAAGCACAAGCAACGUCAAGGCUUGUCAACUUUUGCAUAUGAUGGUGCAUUGCCUCCAAUAUCCUCAGAGGUGGCCACUACCAAGCAAGGAACAUCAUUGAUCUAUAAUUGGCGAGAUGGUCUUGCAUCUCUUUUUCGCAAAAACCAAGAACCAACCAUUCGUGGUGGUAGGGGUGGCCUGGCAUCUCUUCUAUACAAGCAGACCAAGUAGAAGUACAGAGAAACCGGAAAAACUGAAGUUACAUGUCUUAAAAUUUGAGCUACAGACAAAAUGCAUAUCUCUAUAAAUAUUAGUCUUUAUGCUGUUACAGUUUUAUGGUGAGUGGCAGCUCCUUUGAAGAUUUUGAUUUCUUGAGGAGAUGGUCUUGAUUCCUGUUCUUUCUGUUAACAUUUUUGUUUUAAAUGAUAUUUAGUAGAAUUGUCCUGCAAUCUAAUUUAUUCUGAAUAGUGGGUAUGUAGGAGAAAGUCCCUUGUUAGUUAAGGAGCUUAUUUAUUCUGAA
This is a long non-coding RNA of Papaver somniferum (opium poppy), 736 nucleotides long. RefSeq lists it as uncharacterized. The record is from RefSeq and is a predicted model, not a curated record. NCBI's taxonomy places the organism in Eukaryota, Viridiplantae, Streptophyta, Magnoliopsida, Ranunculales, Papaveraceae. The transcript has 3 exons.